GCCCUCAAACUUUUGGCUAACUCCAGCCCUUCACCAUGCCUCAUAUUGACAACGAUGUGAAACUGGACUUCAAGGAUGUCCUGUUAAGGCCCAAACGCAGCAUCUUUAAGUCUCAAAGUGAGGUGGAUCUCACAAGAUCCUUUUCAUUUCGGAACUCAAAGCAGACGUACAAUGGUGUCCCUAUCAUUGCCGCCAAUAUGGGUACCAUGGGUACCUUUGAGACGGCUAAGUUUCUCUGUAAGUUCUCCCUUUUCACUGCUGUCCACAAGCACUACAGCCUCCAUCAGUGGAAAAAGUUUGCCGGCCAGAAUCCUGACUGUCUUGAGUACUUGGCUGCCAGCUCAGGCACAGGCUCUUCUGACUUUGAGAAGCUGGAACAGAUCCUGGAAGCUGUUCUCCAAGUGAAAUAUAUAUGCCUGGAUGUGGCAAAUGGCUACUCUGAACAUUUUGUUGAAUUUGUAAAGGAUGUAAGGAAGCACUUCGCCCAACACACCAUCAUGGCAGGGAAUGUGGUAACAGGAGAGAUGGUGGAAGAACUAAUCCUCUCAGGGGCUGACAUCAUCAAAGUGGGAACUGGUCCAGGCUCUGUUUGUACAACCUGGAAGAAAACUGGAGUAGGGUAUCCACAGCUCAGUGCAGUGAUGGAGUAUGCAGAUGCUGUUCAUGGCUUCAAAGGUCUUAUCAUUUCAGAUGGAGGCUGCAGCGGUCCUGGGGAUGUGGCAAAGGCUUUUGGAGCAGGAGCAGACUUUGUGAUGCUGGGUGGCAUGCUGUCUGGACAUAGUGAAUCAGGUGGUGAACUCAUCGAGAGGGAUGGCAAAAAGUACAAGCUUUUCUAUGGAAUGAGUUCUGAAAUGGCCAUGAAGAAGUAUUCAGGAGGUGUGGCUGAAUACAAGGCCUCAGAAGGAAAGACAGUAGAAGCUCCCCUUAAAGGGGAUGUGGAACAUACUAUUUGUGACAUCUUAGGAGGGAUCCAAUCUAUAUGUACCUACGUGGGAGCAGCUAAACUGAAGGAGUUAAGUCGGAGAACUACCUUCAUCCAAGUCACCCAGCAAGUGACUCCAAUCUUGAGCUAUUCCCACUAG
Molecule: RNA transcript, 1082 nt
Organism: Nannospalax galili (Upper Galilee mountains blind mole rat)
Lineage: Eukaryota; Metazoa; Chordata; Mammalia; Rodentia; Spalacidae
Gene name: GMP reductase 2 pseudogene
Exons: 1
Source: RefSeq, a predicted model, not a curated record